UCUGGUUGAUCCUGCCAGUAGUCAUAUGCUUGUCUCAAAGAUUAAGCCAUGCAUGUCUAAGUAUAAGCAAUUUAUACAGUGAAACUGCGAAUGGCUCAUUAAAUCAGUUAUCGUUUAUUUGAUAGUUCCUUUACUACAUGGUAUAACUGUGGUAAUUCUAGAGCUAAUACAUGCUUAAAAUCUCGACCCUUUGGAAGAGAUGUAUUUAUUAGAUAAAAAAUCAAUGUCUUCGGACUCCUUGAUGAUUCAUAAUAACUUUUCGAAUCGCAUGGCCUUGUGCUGGCGAUGGUUCAUUCAAAUUUCUGCCCUAUCAACUUUCGAUGGUAGGAUAGUGGCCUACCAUGGUUUCAACGGGUAACGGGGAAUAAGGGUUCGAUUCCGGAGAGGGAGCCUGAGAAACGGCUACCACAUCCAAGGAAGGCAGCAGGCGCGCAAAUUACCCAAUCCUAAUUCAGGGAGGUAGUGACAAUAAAUAACGAUACAGGGCCCAUUCGGGUCUUGUAAUUGGAAUGAGUACAAUGUAAAUACCUUAACGAGGAACAAUUGGAGGGCAAGUCUGGUA
Molecule: ribosomal RNA, 562 nt
Filed under: uncultured eukaryote
Lineage: Eukaryota
Description: SSU rRNA
Rfam family: Eukaryotic small subunit ribosomal RNA
Source: RNAcentral